Molecule: long non-coding RNA, 217 nt
Filed under: Pelobates cultripes (western spadefoot toad)
Lineage: Eukaryota; Metazoa; Chordata; Amphibia; Anura; Pelobatidae
Source: RNAcentral
CUUCUCCUCUACCAGGUAUGCUCUCAUUGUGUCAGGAUUACAGAAUGAUCCAGCACGUAGAAUUGUGUAACACAGAGGACUGAUAGGUAACGUAUACCGGACCUUAGAAUGGCCGGACUAAUGUACCACAGAAUAGUCAGGAAUAGCCGAGGUCAAGGGAUACAGAAAGAGACACAAUGAUAAGGAAAAGCCAGGAGUCAGGGAUGCCAGAAAACAG